RNAcentral lists this ribosomal RNA (945 nucleotides) under Triticum aestivum (bread wheat). Its description in RNAcentral is "partial small subunit ribosomal RNA". Lineage: Eukaryota; Viridiplantae; Streptophyta; Magnoliopsida; Poales; Poaceae. The record is from RNAcentral.
AUGGAGCAAGGGAAGGAUGGACCGCGGGUUGAAGAUGCAAACGAGAGAAGGCGUCCGUCCCCUCCCCCACCACCUCUCUCAUGCCGAUUUUUCUUCCUCCGCCAGUUUUCUCCCAUCCCACGUGACGAAACAAUCGACCCAAAUGAGCGAACCGCUCCCCUUUCUCUACUCACACGAGCGGCCCUUUUCCUGGUACACUCGCGCCCGCUAGGGUUCCUGCGCCGCCUCCACAAAGGAUCUCGUCGACUAGCCCACGGCUCUGCUCCUUGCUUCCCACAAGCGAUCCAUCAGCUUCUACGCAAGCCAAGCCGCCGCCUCUCUGCCGAGAAAAAGGGCUCCCAAUCUCCACCAGGGUCGAUCAACCGCGCGACAGAGCUCACACCCCUUCGCUGGUCCACUCUGGCGCGGCCAUUGUUGGUGCGUCCCCCCGGUCCCCCCUUCCCACCCACCGAUGAGCAGCAGAAGCGCCACAUCGGCACCACCGCGCUCCUCGCCACCGGCGGCUUCGCCGGCGUCGUGAGCAAGACCUACAUCGCGCCCCUCGUCCCUCACCAUCCUCUUCCAGGACAUGAUUUGACCACAAAGGAAUCCCCCUUUAAAUGUGUUCUGAUGUCUAUUUGUUAUAUGAGCUUUGUACAUACUGAUUCAACUGGUGGCAGCUUUCUGAAUGGUGACUGGCUUGGACGAUCCAAAUUAUGUCAGUGUCAUGAUCUUCGUCAUGAAGAAGUUAUUAUCUUAGUGUCAGUUCGUUUAGUUGGUGAUGGUUUAGCGGGAGUGACAGCUGUAUCUGUAACUUACCCAUUGGAUGUUGUUCGAACUCGCUUGGCAACACAGCCUCUUUCAGUUAGUACAAUGAUCAAGGAUCUCAUGUAUGAAGAAAAGCUUGUGCCUUUUGAGAUCAUUGCCAUGCUAAUUAGUAAAGAACAUGCUUGUGAUUGGAAAUAA